GGAAAAGGAGUCAUUAUGAUGUUGAGCUGAAAUUGGUUAGGCAAUUAUAGAGUUGCUAUAAUGGAUUCUUGGUAGUUAAACCUCAUUGAUGUAUAAAUUAACUCUUCAGAUAUUUGUGAAUGAUAUCUACGUUCAUCUCUGUCUUCCUUGGUCUUUGUUUAGAUUUUAAUUGUGCAAAGGAAAUGAUGAGAAAUUAAAAAGGG
Molecule: unclassified non-coding RNA, 203 nt
Filed under: Hevea brasiliensis (rubber tree)
Lineage: Eukaryota; Viridiplantae; Streptophyta; Magnoliopsida; Malpighiales; Euphorbiaceae
Source: RNAcentral